RNAcentral lists this transfer RNA (74 nucleotides) under Caldifarciminota bacterium. RNAcentral describes it as "tRNA-Gln". It matches the Rfam family "tRNA". Rfam says of the family: Transfer RNA (tRNA) molecules are approximately 80 nucleotides in length. Their secondary structure includes four short double-helical elements and three loops (D, anti-codon, and T loops). The record is from RNAcentral. Lineage: Bacteria; Pseudomonadati; Caldifarciminota. RNAcentral also lists the same sequence under 1 other name.
UGGGGAGUCGUCUAAUGGUAGGACACAGGACUCUGGAUCCUGGAGUUGGGGUUCAAAUCCCUGCUCCCCAGCCA